RNAcentral lists this ribosomal RNA (493 nucleotides) under uncultured bacterium. Its description in RNAcentral is "partial 16S ribosomal RNA". It matches the Rfam family "Bacterial small subunit ribosomal RNA", at positions 29 to 523 of the family's 1533-position model. The record is from RNAcentral.
AUUGAACGCUGGCGGCAUGCUUUACACAUGCAAGUCGAACGGUAACAGGUUAAGCUGACGAGUGGCGAACGGGUGAGUAAUGCAUCGGAACGUGCCCGGUCGUGGGGGAUAACGCAGCGGAAGCUGCGCUAAUACCGCAUACGAUCUGAGGAUGAAAGCGGGGGACCGUAAGGCCUCGCGCGAUCGGAGCGGCCGAUGUCAGAUUAGGUAGUUGGUGGGGUAAAGGCUCACCAAGCCGACGAUCUGUGGCUGGUCUGAGAGGACGACCAGCCACACUGGGACUGAGACACGGCCCAGACUCCGACGGGAGGCAGCAGUGGGGAAUUUUGGACAAUGGGCGCAAGCCUGAUCCAGCAAUGCCGCGUGCAGGAAGAAGGCCUUCGGGUUGUAAAGCUCUUUCGGCCGGGAAGAAAUCGCACAGGCUAAUACCUUGUGUGGAUGACGGUACCGGAAUAAGAAGCACCGGCUAACUACGUGCCAGCAGCCGCGGUAA